GACGAACGCUGGCGGCGUGCCUAAUACAUGCAAGUAGAACGCACAGUUUAUACCGUAGCUUGCUCCACCAUAGACUGUGAGUUGCGAACGGGUGAGUGACGCGUAGGUAACCUGCCUGGUAGCGGGGGAUAACUAUUGGAAACGAUAGCUAAUACCGCAUAAUAUUAAUUAUUGCAUGAUAAUUAAUUGAAAGGUGCAAUUGCACCACUACCAGAUGGACCUGCGUUGUAUUAGCUAGUAGGUGAGGUAACGGCUCACCUAGGCGACGAUACAUAGCCGACCUGAGAGGGUGAUAGGCCAAACUGGGACGGAGACACGGCCCGGACUCCUACGAGAGGCAGCAGUAGGGAAUCUUCGGCAAUGGAAGAAAGGCUGACCGAGCAACGCCGCGGGAGUGCAGAAGGUUUUCGGAUCGUAAAGCUCAGUUGUAAGAGAAGAACGGGGGUGAGAGUGGAAAGUUCACACUGUGACGGUAUCUGACCAGAAAGGGACGGCUAACUACGUG
RNAcentral lists this ribosomal RNA (505 nucleotides) under uncultured bacterium. RNAcentral's name for it is "partial 16S ribosomal RNA". It matches the Rfam family "Bacterial small subunit ribosomal RNA", at positions 28 to 507 of the family's 1533-position model. The record is from RNAcentral.